Molecule: ribosomal RNA, 468 nt
Filed under: uncultured bacterium
Lineage: Bacteria
Description: partial 16S ribosomal RNA
Rfam family: Bacterial small subunit ribosomal RNA
Source: RNAcentral
GACGAACGCUGGCGGCGUGCUUAACACAUGCAAGUCGAACGGAAAGGCCCUGCUUUUGUGGGGUGCUCGAGUGGCGAACGGGUGAGUAACACGUGAGUAACCUGCCCUUGACUUUGGGAUAACUUCAGGAAACUGGGGCUAAUGCCGGAUAGGAGCUCCUGCUGCAUGGUGGGGGUUGGAAAGUUUCGGCGGUUGGGGAUGGACUCGCGGCUUAUCAGCUUGUUGGUGGGGUAGUGGCUUACCAAGGCUUUGACGGGUAGCCGGCCUGAGAGGGUGACCGGCCACAUUGGGACUGAGAUACGGCCCAGACUCCAACGGGAGGCAGCAGUGGGGAAUAUUGCACAAUGGGCGGAAGCCUGAUGCAGCAACGCCGCGUGCGGGAUGACGGCCUUCGGGUUGUAAACCGCUUUCGCCUGUGACGAAGCGUGAGUGACGGUAAUGGGUAAAGAAGCACCGGCUAACUACGUG